This 257-nucleotide ribosomal RNA is filed under the name uncultured bacterium. RNAcentral's name for it is "partial 16S ribosomal RNA". It matches the Rfam family "Bacterial small subunit ribosomal RNA", at positions 524 to 776 of the family's 1533-position model. The record is from RNAcentral.
CACGUAGGGCGCGAGCGUUGUCCGGAAUUAUUGGGCGUAAAGAGCUCGUAGGCGGCCUGUUGCGUCCGCUGUGAAAGCCCGGGGCUUAACCCCGGGUCGGCAGUGGAUACGGGCAGGCUAGAGGUAGGUAGGGGAGAACUGGAAUUCCCGGUGUAGCGGUGAAAUGCGGCAGAUAUCGGGGAAGGAACACCGGUGGCGAAGGCGGUUCUCUGGGCCUUACCUGACGCUGAGGAGCGAAAGCGUGGGGAGCGAACAGG